GAUGAACGCUGGCGGCGUGCCUAAUACAUGCAAGUAGAACGCUGAAGCUUGGUGCUUGCACCGAGCGGAUGAGUUGCGAACGGGUGAGUAACGCGUAGGUAACCUGCCUCUUAGCGGGGGAUAACUAUUGGAAACGAUAGCUAAUACCGCAUAAAAGACGAUAUCGCAUGAUAUUGAUUUGAAAGGUGCAAUUGCAUCACUAAGAGAUGGACCUGCGUUGUAUUAGCUAGUUGGUGAGGUAACGGCUCACCAAGGCGACGAUACAUAGCCGACCUGAGAGGGUGAUCGGCCACACUGGGACUGAGACACGGCCCAGACUCCUACGGGAGGCAGCAGUAGGGAAUCUUCGGCAAUGGGGGCAACCCUGACCGAGCAACGCCACGUGAGUGAAGAAGGUUUUCGGAUCGUAAAGCUCUGUUGUAAGAGAAGAACGAGUGUGAGAGUGGAAAGUUCACACUGUGACGGUAACUUACCAGAAAGGACGGCUAAUAC
RNAcentral lists this ribosomal RNA (492 nucleotides) under Streptococcus parasanguinis. Its description in RNAcentral is "bacterial SSU rRNA". It matches the Rfam family "Bacterial small subunit ribosomal RNA", at positions 28 to 503 of the family's 1533-position model. The record is from RNAcentral. Lineage: Bacteria; Bacillati; Bacillota; Bacilli; Lactobacillales; Streptococcaceae.